RNAcentral lists this non-coding RNA (24 nucleotides) under Mus musculus (house mouse). Lineage: Eukaryota; Metazoa; Chordata; Mammalia; Rodentia; Muridae. The record is from RNAcentral.
CGGGACUUGGUAAUGUAUAAGGGU